CCCUACGGGGGGCAGCAGUGAGGAAUAUUGGUCAAUGGACGAGAGUCUGAACCAGCCAAGUAGCGUGAAGGAUGACUGCCCUAUGGGUUGUAAACUUCUUUUAUAAAGGAAUAAAACGAGGCACGUGUGCCUUUUUGCAUGUACUUUAUGAAUAAGCAUCGGCUAACUCCGUGCCAGCAGCCGCGGUAAUACGGAGGAUGCGAGCGUUAUCCGGAUUCAUUGGGUUUAAAGGGUGCGCGGGCGGGCCUUUAAGCCGGCGGUGAAAUCGCGGGGCUCAACCCCGCCGAGCCGUCGGA
RNAcentral lists this ribosomal RNA (296 nucleotides) under uncultured bacterium. Its description in RNAcentral is "partial 16S ribosomal RNA". It matches the Rfam family "Bacterial small subunit ribosomal RNA", at positions 337 to 631 of the family's 1533-position model. The record is from RNAcentral.